UACAGUUCAUUGAGUAACGACAGCAGCUGAGGGCGCUCGUGGUAGUAGGAAUUAGCUCGUGCAGCGAAACUGUCGGGGCUGCUCUGUUUAGUGAAAUGGAUAACAAAAGGCCAAGAUUAUUAUUACAUUAAAACAGGCAAGAAGCUGACAUGGCAAUGGGGGGGCAGACCACAUGGGAGAAUAGGGGGGGUGAUGACUGAUGAGUGUUUGAAUUUUGAAGUCUACAAAACCAGAGAAUCAAAUCAUAGUCUAUCUGCUACACGGCAUCAAUCAAUCAAUCAACAAAAGGGUAUCUGUAUUUUGGCCAAAGGGUUCAAAUUUCAAACACAAAAAAAAGGGGGGGUUGGUUGUAAAUUCAGAAAAUAUGCAAAAAAAUGGUAAAGAUUGCAGCUUUAUGAAAUAGAACCUUUCUGGGGCUGAUCUUUUACAUAGGGUUUGAAAGUGACAUAUCACAGUGUUGUUUUACUCAAAGCCAAAUACAGGGAAAGAUGGGUACAUCAGAAAAGCACUUGCCUCUAAACCACCAUCUUGGGCCCACAUUCCCCCCCAAAUUUAAAUUCAAAAAAACAAAAAAACAAAAAAUAAAAAUCUAAUCUUUUUUUUCUUUUUUUUCCUUCUUGGACUUUUUCACCUUUCUAAUUUCAUGGUGAAGAGUGAAUACUACUACUACUAUUUCUGCUUUUUCACAUUGUUUUGAAAUUUGAACAUAUCCAAGAAAAAAGUAAGGUGAUUUUCAUGCUA
This is a non-coding RNA of Erythranthe guttata (spotted monkey flower), 741 nucleotides long. The record is from RefSeq and is a predicted model, not a curated record. NCBI's taxonomy places the organism in Eukaryota, Viridiplantae, Streptophyta, Magnoliopsida, Lamiales, Phrymaceae.